Molecule: microRNA precursor, 159 nt
Filed under: Pelobates cultripes (western spadefoot toad)
Lineage: Eukaryota; Metazoa; Chordata; Amphibia; Anura; Pelobatidae
Source: RNAcentral
ACACAUUCCAUCCAAUCAGCAGCAGACCCUCCCUCCCAGACCCUCUCACCUCCUGGACAGCUCACUAAGAAUGCAGCUUCAAAAUUAAUGUAAAAUGGAUGCUGUCCAGGAGGUGGGAGGGUCUGGGAGGGAGGGUCUGCUGCUGAUUGGCUGGAAUGG